UCCCCUGACUGUGUCCUUGAGAGACCCACAUUUGAGAGGUCACCUUCAGGCUGAUCUCAGAGACUGACCUUGCUCAUUCUCUCCAGGCCUAAGCUCCCAAGACAUGUCUCCUCCCAGAGGCUGAGGUUGGCCAUUCCUUCCAGGCACCAACUCCUCAGAGAUCUGAGCCCCCAAGAGGUAUCUCUUCCCAGAGACUGAAGUUGGCUAUUCCCUCCAGGCCCCAGCUCCUGAGAGGCAGCUACUCCCAGAAUGAGGUAAUACUUGUGAAGAG
Molecule: long non-coding RNA, 271 nt
Filed under: Phascolarctos cinereus (koala)
Lineage: Eukaryota; Metazoa; Chordata; Mammalia; Diprotodontia; Phascolarctidae
Description: lncRNA (ENSPCIG00000033290.1)
Source: RNAcentral